RNAcentral lists this ribosomal RNA (525 nucleotides) under Neofusicoccum parvum. RNAcentral describes it as "eukaryotic LSU rRNA". The stretch from base 164 to 317 matches the Rfam family "5.8S ribosomal RNA". The record is from RNAcentral. Lineage: Eukaryota; Fungi; Ascomycota; Dothideomycetes; Botryosphaeriales; Botryosphaeriaceae.
CUCCGGCUCGACUCUCCCACCCUAUGUGUACCUACCUCUGUUGCUUUGGCGGGCCGCGGUCCUCCGCACCGGCGCCCUUCGGGGGGCUGGCCAGCGCCCGCCAGAGGACCAUAAAACUCCAGUCAGUGAACUUCGCAGUCUGAAAAACAAGUUAAUAAACUAAAACUUUCAACAACGGAUCUCUUGGUUCUGGCAUCGAUGAAGAACGCAGCGAAAUGCGAUAAGUAAUGUGAAUUGCAGAAUUCAGUGAAUCAUCGAAUCUUUGAACGCACAUUGCGCCCCUUGGUAUUCCGAGGGGCAUGCCUGUUCGAGCGUCAUUUCAACCCUCAAGCUCUGCUUGGUAUUGGGCCCCGUCCUCCACGGACGCGCCUUAAAGACCUCGGCGGUGGCGUCUUGCCUCAAGCGUAGUAGAAAACACCUCGCUUUGGAGCGCACGGCGUCGCCCGCCGGACGAACCUUUGAAUUAUUUCUCAAGGUUGACCUCGGAUCAGGUAGGGAUACCCGCUGAACUUAAGCAUAUCAAUA